GUACAAGAUGUAAGUUUGUACAAAUUAUAAUUUGUACAGGGUUUUUGUACAAGUUAUAAGUUUUUUGACACCUACCUUCUUGCAACAAGUGAUACAGGUUAAUCUUAUAAAAUGUACUAGUGUAAUGUUUUAAAUUCAAAAAAACAUACUUCAACCUAAUAUUUAGUGCUAUUCUCCUUGUCUUCAAACUGGAAAUGAGGAUACCUGAAUGGUUUAAAUUCUAAUUUUAAUUUUUUU
This 237-nucleotide long non-coding RNA is filed under the name Mytilus galloprovincialis (Mediterranean mussel). The record is from RNAcentral. Lineage: Eukaryota; Metazoa; Mollusca; Bivalvia; Mytilida; Mytilidae.